Molecule: transfer RNA, 63 nt
Filed under: Paleosuchus palpebrosus (Cuvier's dwarf caiman)
Lineage: Eukaryota; Metazoa; Chordata; Crocodylia; Alligatoridae
Description: partial tRNA-Arg
Source: RNAcentral
CGCCUCCAUAGGCGCUAGUCUAACACAAGACCUCUAACUUCGACCUAGAAAAUCACGAAAGAA